Medicago truncatula (barrel medic) is the source of this 1331-nucleotide long non-coding RNA. RefSeq lists it as uncharacterized. The transcript has 2 exons. NCBI's taxonomy places the organism in Eukaryota, Viridiplantae, Streptophyta, Magnoliopsida, Fabales, Fabaceae. The record is from RefSeq and is a predicted model, not a curated record.
UGAACUUUUUUCCCCUUUUUCUUAAAAAAUAAAUGUUCAGUCGUGAAAUAAAGAAUUUAGGCAAAAGCUAAUCAAAUAGUCUUGAUCUCCAAAAAAUGAUGCGACAACUAAGAUCGUCGACAGUGUAUCAUCUUUACUUGUCCUAUUGCAGAAACUUAUUCUUGUCUCGUAACGUAUCAUAAACAUAUACAUAUUCAUUCUUAUGUUAGAAGUUAGCGUGUAACAACAACAUUAUCUUGGUUCAUUUUACGGAGUGUAUCAGGUGGAGUAACCCCGAGUACAUUCCCUUAAUUGACCGAUGAAAACCUAGCUAAGGUACACUGGACUCCCUCAGUGACGUGCGGGCCUACCUUUUGGAGCAUAUCCCGUUCCCCUUGGAGAACCUCUCGUAUCCCCCUUGGUGUGGAUAACAGAAAGACACGACAUCUACAUCUUACUUUAUGGUCUUUACCAUAUAUGAUAUCUUAUCUUACUUGGGUUUCUUGCUAACUUUCUAGUUCUCGACGAUCUAUGUCGAGGCUCUAUACUUUCCCCAUUCUUAGUUUAUCGCUACCCGAACAAACAUGUUAAACUCUCUUGUGCCUUCUUGAUGCAUAUGUUAACCUUGGCCAUGAUUUUCAUUUCAAGAAUCGUUUGAUGUUAUGUGCAUUGCUUAGAUGUUGUUUAGGGGUUAUAUAAUUGUAAAUCAUCGCAAAAAAAUCCUUGGACUGCGCUACAGGUCCCAUAAUGGGCCAACAAGCAAGUGAAAAGUUGGUUAUGGCAGAGACAUUUCGCUAUUGGGGAAAUGCAUCCUGGGGAAUUUUGCUAUUAGCGAAAUAUUUCGCUAAUAGCGAAUUUCGAUUAGUAAUGUCAUUUUUAGACAUGGAAUACCAUUUAGAAUUACCUAAUGUGGUGAAAAGAGUGGCAAAAGUAUUAUAGUUUCUAGAAGGAAGAAGUUGUUCAAGGAGAGACUCAAGAUCAAUGAUAGCAAAUACAGGCUUUGAAGAGCUGGGACACAGAGAUUGCGGAGGACGAGUAGGACAAUUCUGAAUUAAGUGUUUGGGUGACUUGCAGCAUCAACAACAGUUUGAAGCAAUAUGACCCUUUCUCAUGCAGUUAUGACAAUUUAUAGUGGGACAAUCAGAGAAAGAAUGUUCAGGCUUAAGGUCAAAAAAGAGUACACAAACUCUGUUAUUUCCUUCAUUUCAAGCCACCAAACAUUUUCAAAUAUUAAUACAUCUUAUUUAAAUCUGGAACAUUGGACACACAAACACUAUCCUCAAAUCAGUUUCUUUUCUUUGAGCAAUGAUUUUUCUUUGCUUCUUUAAAAAUCGACCAUCAGCUUAAUCUUA